AAGUCGUAACAAGGUCUCCGUUGGUGAACCAGCGGAGGGAUCAUUAGCGAGUGCAAACUCCAACCCUGUGAACGCAUCGCGUUGCUUCGGCAGGCGCGCCUGGGAGGCGCCGCGGCUGCAAAGCGCCUGCCGGCAGCACCACAAUUCUAUACUUUUGUCUCUGAGUGGCUUCUAAAUAUCAAAACUUUCAACAACGGAUCUCUUGGUUCUG
This 211-nucleotide unclassified non-coding RNA is filed under the name air metagenome. RNAcentral's name for it is "partial contains small subunit ribosomal RNA, internal transcribed spacer 1, and 5.8S ribosomal RNA". The stretch from base 1 to 46 matches the Rfam family "Eukaryotic small subunit ribosomal RNA", at positions 1786 to 1831 of the family's 1831-position model. The record is from RNAcentral.